CACAUGCAAGUCGACGGUAACAGGAAGCAGCUUGCUUCUUCGCUGACGAGUGGCGGACGGGUGAGUAAUGUCUGGGAAACUGCCUGAUGGAGGGGGAUAACUACUGGAAACGGUAGCUAAUACCGCAUAACGUCGCAAGACCAAAGAGGGGGACCUUCGGGCCUCUUGCCAUCGGAUGUGCCCAGAUGGGAUUAGCUAGUAGGUGGGGUAACGGCUCACCUAGGCGACGAUCCCUAGCUGGUCUGAGAGGAUGACCAGCCACACUGGAACUGAGACACGGUCCAGACUCCUACGGGAGGCAGCAGUGGGGAAUAUUGCACAAUGGGCGCAAGCCUGAUGCAGCCAUGCCGCGUGUAUGAAGAAGGCCUUCGGGUUGUAAAGUACUUUCAGCGGGGAGGAAGGGAGUAAAGUUAAUACCUUUGCUCAUUGACGUUACCCGCAGAAGAAGCACCGGCUAACUCCGUGCCAGCAGCCGCGGUAAUACGGAGGGUGCAAGCGUUAAUCGGAAUUACUGGGCGUAAAGCGCACGCAGGCGGUUUGUUAAGUCAGAUGUGAAAUCCCCGGGCUCAACCUGGGAACUGCAUCUGAUACUGGCAAGCUUGAGUCUCGUAGAGGGGGGUAGAAUUCCAGGUGUAGCGGUGAAAUGCGUAGAGAUCUGGAGGAAUACCGGUGGCGAAGGCGGCCCCCUGGACGAAGACUGACGCUCAGGUGCGAAAGCGUGGGGAGCAAA
Molecule: ribosomal RNA, 730 nt
Filed under: Escherichia coli
Lineage: Bacteria; Pseudomonadati; Pseudomonadota; Gammaproteobacteria; Enterobacterales; Enterobacteriaceae
Description: bacterial SSU rRNA
Rfam family: Bacterial small subunit ribosomal RNA
Source: RNAcentral